GCGGUCAUCGUAUAGUGGCUAUUAUGCUUCCUUGCCAAGGAAGAGACGCGGUUUCGAUUACCGCUGACCGCA
This 72-nucleotide transfer RNA is filed under the name Candidatus Sungbacteria bacterium RIFCSPHIGHO2_02_FULL_49_12. Its description in RNAcentral is "tRNA-Gly". It matches the Rfam family "tRNA". Rfam says of the family: Transfer RNA (tRNA) molecules are approximately 80 nucleotides in length. Their secondary structure includes four short double-helical elements and three loops (D, anti-codon, and T loops). Further hydrogen bonds mediate the characteristic L-shaped molecular structure. tRNAs have two regions of fundamental functional importance: the anti-codon, which is responsible for specific mRNA codon recognition, and the 3' end, to which the tRNAs corresponding amino acid is attached (by aminoacyl-tRNA synthetases). tRNAs cope with the degeneracy of the genetic code in two manners: having more than one tRNA (with a specific anti-codon) for a particular amino acid; and 'wobble' base-pairing, i.e. permitting non-standard base-pairing at the 3rd anti-codon position. The record is from RNAcentral. Lineage: Bacteria; Candidatus Sungiibacteriota.